This is an unclassified non-coding RNA of Otolemur garnettii (small-eared galago), 260 nucleotides long. It matches the Rfam family "Metazoan signal recognition particle RNA". From Rfam's summary of the family: The signal recognition particle (SRP) is a universally conserved ribonucleoprotein. It is involved in the co-translational targeting of proteins to membranes. The eukaryotic SRP consists of a 300-nucleotide 7S RNA and six proteins: SRPs 72, 68, 54, 19, 14, and 9. The record is from Ensembl. NCBI's taxonomy places the organism in Eukaryota, Metazoa, Chordata, Mammalia, Primates, Galagidae.
GCUGCUCAGGAGGCUGAGUCAGGAGGAUUGCUUGGGCUGUGGUGUGCUUUGCUCUGGGCUGUGGUGUGCUGUGCUGAUCAAGUGUCCACAGUACGUUUGGCAUCAGUAAGGUGACCCAGGAGCAGGGAGCCACCAGAUUGCCCAAGGAACCAGCCCAAGAUGGAAACAGCAGGUGGGAACUCCCAUGCUGACCAGUAGUGGGAUGGCGCCUAUGAAUAGCUACUGCACUCCAGCCUGGGCAACAUAGAGAGACCCCAUCU